CCUACGGGAGGCAGCAGUGAGGAAUAUUGGUCAAUGGGCGUAAGCCUGAACCAGCCAAGUCGCGUGAGGGAUGAAGGCUCUAUGGAUUGUAAACUUCUUUUAUAAGGGAAUAAAGUGCGGGACGUGUCCCGUUUUGUAUGUACCUCAUGAAUAAGGACCGGCUAACUCCGUGCCAGCAGCCGCGGUAAUACGGAGGAUCCGGGCGUUAUCCGGAUUUAUUGGGUUUAAAGGGUGCGUAGGCGGCCUUUUAAGUCAGCGGUGAAAGUCCGUGGCUCAACCAUGGAAUUGCCGUGGGAACUGGGGGGCUUGAGUAUGUUUAAGGCAGGCGGAAUGCGUGGUGUAGCGGUGAAAUGCUUAGAUAUCACGCAGAACCCCGAUUGCGAAGGCAGCCUGCCAAGCCAUGACUGACGCUGAUGCACGAAGGCGUGGGGAUCGAACAGGAUUAGAUACCCGGGUAGUC
Molecule: ribosomal RNA, 460 nt
Filed under: uncultured bacterium
Lineage: Bacteria
Description: partial 16S ribosomal RNA
Rfam family: Bacterial small subunit ribosomal RNA
Source: RNAcentral